This 364-nucleotide long non-coding RNA is filed under the name Malus domestica (apple). RNAcentral's name for it is "long non-coding RNA (MDOM_LNC013323)". The record is from RNAcentral. Lineage: Eukaryota; Viridiplantae; Streptophyta; Magnoliopsida; Rosales; Rosaceae.
UUCAGAGUAUAAGGCCGACUCAAGAAUUUGAGGGUCAAAACAAGUCUAUCAAAUCUAGAGUACGUUCGACCUUGAUGAUAUGAGAUACUUUUGCUGUUGACGGAAUAAUGAAUGUGGUAUGGAAAGGUGUCGUGCUGUAGUGAUCUAUUUCAGCUCACCGUUGAACCUUCUGCUUCAAUCUUUUGCAUGGCAGAAGUGGUGUGCAACCUUUGCAUUUAAAUGGUCUUUCAGAACAUUCCUUCAUAGUGACUCAUCCACGCUUGGCAGCUUCAGUGUAAAGAGCCAAUAUCUGAUCAACUGUCAUGAGGUAUGUGCCGGUGGAUGUCAUGACCUUGACAGCAGUUGAGGAUGAGUUCUCGAGAGC